AAUACCUUUUAAAGAACAACAGUCAAAAAAUGUUUGUUGCAUAAUUAAAGAAAUGAACAAUAAGUAUUUGUUGGAUUGAACUGAUUACUUGUUUUUGCACAUUUUCAGAAGCUUAGAAGACUUUUUGUGUGGAAUAUGUGCUUGCCUUAUAUCACCCAGGGGAAGCACUCUGGUGUCUCAGGCAAUGGGCAGGGCCAUAAAGCUCCCAAAACUUCUGUUGCUUGUGUUAUGCUACCAGGAGUGGUGGAGGGGCAAAGCCAGAUAGGAGCUAGGUCAGGCAAGUCCACACUGGCUCCACUCAUGUGCGGCAAGCAGCAGUCCCAGUGGGGAUAGAAGGGCAGUUCCCUAGCCACUGGAGUAAUGUUCCAGGGAGGAGCACAGCUGCCUCUGCUGCACAGAAAUGUCCACCCAGGGAGUGGGGAGUAACAGGCAUGCACU
This 438-nucleotide long non-coding RNA is filed under the name Pan troglodytes (chimpanzee). RNAcentral describes it as "long non-coding RNA NONPTRT003494". The record is from RNAcentral. Lineage: Eukaryota; Metazoa; Chordata; Mammalia; Primates; Hominidae.